UAUGUGAUCGUCUCUCGCAUAUCAAUAAGCGGAGGAAAAGAAACUAACAAGGAUUCCCCUAGUAACGGCGGGUGAAGCGGGAAGAGCUCAAAUUUGAAAUCUUAAAGGGUUUCCCUUUACGAAUUGUAGUUUAAAGAAGUGUUUUCUGUUGAGGUUUUGGUAAAAGUUCUUUGGAAUAGGACAUCAUAGAGGGUGAGGAAUCCCGUAUUUGACCUUUACUUUCAACUUUGUGAUACACUUUCAAAGAGUCGGAUUGUUUGGGAAUGCAGUCCAAAAUGGGUGGUAAAUUUCAUCUAAAGCUAAAUAUUGGCGAGAGACCGAUAGCGAACAAGUACCGUGAGGGAAAGAUGAAAAGAACUUUGAAAAGAGAGUUAAACAGUACGUGAAAUUGUCAAAAGGGAAGCGUUUGACACCAGUGUUGUUUUUCUGAAAAUCAAUUAAAGAACUGUUUAUGCUAAGUUGUUUAGACUUUAUCAGCUAACUGUUUAGUUUUGAGCUUUUCUUUAAUGCACUUUUCAGUUAACAAGUCAACAUCAAUUUCUUUUGCUGUAAAAAAGCUUGAGGAAGGUGGCUUGAGAUUCGUCUUAAGUGUUUAUAGCCUCUUGCCUAUGCAGUCGGAGAGAUUGAGGUCUGCAGCGUAGAUCCUUCGGGGCUAAAUGCAUUUGUGCUAAGUUAUAGCAUUUUAUAGACAACUUGUUGACUAUGAUUUGUCUUGUAGCUUACUCGCUUAUGUUAUUUUACCUACGCUUAGGAUGUUGAGUAGCGACAUACGCAC
RNAcentral lists this ribosomal RNA (775 nucleotides) under uncultured Neocallimastigales. Its description in RNAcentral is "partial large subunit ribosomal RNA". It matches the Rfam family "Eukaryotic large subunit ribosomal RNA", at positions 24 to 649 of the family's 3401-position model. The record is from RNAcentral. Lineage: Eukaryota; Fungi; Neocallimastigomycota; Neocallimastigomycetes; Neocallimastigales.